UGUAUGUUUAGGUAUAUUUUUUGUUUUUAUGAUUGCUGAAAAACAAAGGCAAGCCUAUUAGUUUGGAAAAUAAAGUCAAGCCUGUGUGUUCAAAGAUAGUUUGAUUAACUAGUAAGUAGCCAUUUGGCGCCAGUGAGGUGAGAUAGCUAGCUUAUGUUGAUGCAUGUAUGUUUGAUCAAGGCUAGCUAGUUGCAGCAGUUGGAACUAGUACUAGUACAUAAGAGAAGAGACAUUGUGUCAGCAUGUGCAAUCAGGGUUGGGAUGUAUACUUCAUACUAUUCUAUAACUUAACUAGUAGUCCCUGUCAGACAACUAAUUUACAUUGAAGAGGUCCUCCAUUCAUGUAUUAGUACGUACACUCCUUGUUCUUUUUCCUUCAGUUUUGGUCUGUAGAUGUACUUGUAAGUUCUUUCAUCUCGCUUUUGCUUUUCUUUUCAGUAUGUUGUACUCUCUCCAUCUCAAAAUAAAUGUCUCAACUUUGUACUAACGUUAAGUUAUACUAACCUUGAGACACUUAUUUUAGGAUGGAGGGAGUAUUUCUGUAAUAUUUAGCUCUUGUCCCUAAAGCUGAUGCAUCCACUGGCAUGUUAACAUCAUCUCCUGUGUGUUCUUUCUCAAUGAUGUAGAGUAGGGUAGAGCAGGGGUUCUUACUUAUUGUUCUUAUAAACGCUAUGUUAUCAUGCAGGUGGCAGUUGGGCCUAUCUGAAGAGCAAUAAUGUAAUGCUUUUGAGCUUAGGCAAAUGAAGUUGUAUUUAAAAGCGGACGAGAUGAUGUUUGUCAACACGAAACUGAAAAGGUUGGUCCAUCAUCUCUUAGCCAUACAUCCCAUCUAGUUAUGCGCCAAUUUAGUUCUAGACAACAUGCGCAUGGAGAAACAUAUAUGCGAAAAUACAUGUAUCUUCAUCACUACCAUUGAGUUCUGAACUUCUGAUAAGAACACUGCCCUGUCAAUCGACUUCCUUGUUUUGCGACCUGCCCUUUUUUAUUUGAGAUCUUGUGUCUGAGGCACACUGACCACUUGGCUAGCGUACAAUGCCUUUGAAGACCAUGCUACAGGUAACUUGCUUUGGAACCUUUUUUUAGUUGAUUUCUUAGCUUACCACAUUGCCUAGGUGGUACUACUGUACUAUAUAUAUAUAUAUAAUGUAUGCACCUGCUUGUGCCCUAUUUUCCUAGAUGUGGCUCAUAACUGAGAUAUCUAUCUAGGUACUAGCUAUUUUCUUUACACUAAAUCUAUCUUAAUUAAGGUGCGAGGGGUAAAAUUUUGUUGAACUCAUAUAGGAUUUUUUUCCCUGUAUCACAUGGCCAUCUUGGUCUAACUAUAGCACAUGUGGGUUCUGGAGAUAUGAUGAAUACAGUUAAUUAGAAAACUGCCAUGUGCUCAGUGGCGGAGGCAGGAUUCGAGUAUAGGGGGGGAGUACGUAUAUUGAUCUAAUCUCGUUGGUAAUUACUCGUCGCUCCUACUAAAACUGUCGAUCAUUGGGGGGGGGGCCUGCUCGUCCCCCUGGCUCCACCCCUACAUGUGCUUGGAAUUAUACGAAUGUUUCAAGUAAUUCAAAAAGCAGGAUGUGUUCUGAACUGUUGGAAACUUAUUAUAAAAUUGAAAUCGAUGCGGUUUAUUGGUAGAUUAUUUCUUUAGUAUACAGACCAACGUGUAGUCCUCAAUCUUUAUUAUUUUGAGUAUGUGUUCCUGCUGAUUCAUGUUACCCUGAAAAUUGCAUGUGAAGGAUCAAAAGGUAAAUAUGUAGUCAUACUGCUAGAUAGCAGCUAACUAGUCAGUUAUAAGAUCUAAGUUUUGUCGCGGUAUGCUCAAUUAAAUUUCAACUACAUUACAUCAUUUUCGUCUCCUUACAACUAGUCUAAUCAUUUCUUAGGGAUGUGAAACAAUACUGGAGGAAUCGUGAUCUAUGGCAAGGGUGAUGAUGUCUAUGGCGAUGAUUCUCAUGAUCUAUAUGGUGAUGAGCGGUAUGAUCCAUAUGGUGAUGAAGGGUGAUGAGUCUAAUGAUCUUUCUUCAGGACAUGCAACAAAGUGAACUUCUGAAGUUUUGGUCAAUUUUAGCUUAGGAAUAAUGCUUGGACCAUUAUAUAUAGUUACUAUUUUGUUUUGCAUUUCAAACUUCCUAGAUAGAUCAUGAUGAACAAUGUAAUUUGGAUGCACGUCAUUUGGGCUAUGGUAUUUUAAAAUUUGCGCUAAAUAUAAUAUAUGUUACUU
Molecule: long non-coding RNA, 2212 nt
Filed under: Triticum aestivum (bread wheat)
Lineage: Eukaryota; Viridiplantae; Streptophyta; Magnoliopsida; Poales; Poaceae
Description: long non-coding RNA (TAES_LNC001079)
Source: RNAcentral